GACGUAGGGGGCGAGCGUUGUCCGGAUUUACUGGGCGUAAAGCGCGUGCAGGCGGUUUGCUAAGUCCCGUGUGAAAUCCUCCGGCUCAACUGGAGAACGCCGCGGGAUACUGGCGAGCUUGAGGGCGGUAGAGGGUGAUGGAAUUCCCGGUGUAGCGGUGAAAUGCGUAGAUAUCGGGAGGAACGCCAGUGGCGAAGGCGGUCACCUGGGCCGUCCCUGACGCUGAGACGCGAAAGCUGGGGGAGCAAACGGG
Molecule: ribosomal RNA, 253 nt
Filed under: uncultured bacterium
Lineage: Bacteria
Description: partial 16S ribosomal RNA
Rfam family: Bacterial small subunit ribosomal RNA
Source: RNAcentral